This 471-nucleotide ribosomal RNA is filed under the name Triticum aestivum (bread wheat). Its description in RNAcentral is "partial small subunit ribosomal RNA". Lineage: Eukaryota; Viridiplantae; Streptophyta; Magnoliopsida; Poales; Poaceae. The record is from RNAcentral.
AUGUAUCCGUACAAUAAUUGCUCCUUUGUUUGUAUAUAUAUUUGUUUGAUUUGCUUCCCUUCCUUUAUGCUCUGUAUAGAACAACGUGGCACAAAGUACUGCAAGCCUCCCUGUAUGGGCCUCAUUAUUGAUGGCAAGUCAAUUGCAGAGGACAUAAAGUUACAGAUUGCUGAAGAAUUUCGUCGAAUGAAAAAGGCAGUUGCACAUGUUCCUGGAUUAGCUAUUGUAUUGGUAGGCGAUAGAAGGGACUCUCAAUCCCAUGUGGGAUUUAAAGCGAAGGGUUGUGAGGAAAACUGCACAAAAGACGAGGUGGUGGAUUCAGCAGCAAGAUUAAGUGGAUAUCUAUCUGUUCAUGGCAUCCUUGUGCCGCUACCACUACCACAAGUAAUGUAUUGUACUACCUCAUGCACUAAAGCAUCUUCCAUGCAAAAAAAAAACUUAGUUCUUUUUAAUUCUUUAGUAUUUUUCUAA